AAAAAAAAAAAUGGUUAAGAUGAUGUUACUGGAAUGGAACUGCAUCCUUGCAAAAUCCAUAUAGUAAAGAUUAACCCCCAUGUAUUGAAAACAGGGUCUUUAAAUAGGUCAUCAAGGUUAAAUGAGGUCAUGACUAGGACCCUAAUCCAGUAGAACUGGUAUCUUUAAGAAAGAGGCACCAAAGCCCUCUCUCUAUAUUUGCAAAGAGGAAAGGUCAUAUGAGGACACAGAAAGAAGGCGGCCAACUGUGAGCCAAGAAAGGAGGCCUGACCAGAAACUGACCGUGCCUGCACCUUAAACUUGGACUUUUAGCCUCUGGGACUGUGAGAGAAUUAGUUUCUGCUGUUUAAGCCACCAGUUUUGAUGUUUUGUUGUAAAUGGUAAAUUAUAUGUUAUAUGUAUUUUAUCACAAUUUUAUUUUAUUUUAUUUUAUUUUAUUUAUCUUAUGGCCCAGGCUAGGGGUCUAAUCAGAGUUACAGCUGUCGGCCUAUGCCACAACCACAGCAAUGCCAGAUCCAAGCCACAUCUUCAACCUACACAGCAGCUUGCGACAACGAUGGAUCCUUUACCCACUAAUCAAGGCCAGCGAUCAAACCUAUAGCCUCACAGAGACAAUGUCAGGUUCUUAACCCACUGAGCCACAAUGGGAACUCAUACCACAAUUUUUUAAAAAGUCUAGUUUGACUUGGUUUUCUAUUAUGUAUAACCCAAAGACUCCUCACUAAUAUGCAACUGAUUUAAUUUCAUCCAUUGCAUAAAAAAUCCUACGUGGCCUCUUGUGUUAAUUGGCACAAUACUUUCUAAAUUGUCAGUGAGGUUUUGUUACUUUCUGUGUAUGGGCAUCCCUGGAAAAAGCCACCACACUGGCUGGCCUUCCAAUUUGGCUCAAGAUUUCUUGGGGAAAGAAAUAAUCCCAGGAUGCUCAAAAAACAGAUCCCAUAGCUUCAUUUGUGAAAAUCCUGGGUGUCAGGCCUCAGAUCCUUGAUUCCUGUUCCCAGGAAACCUUCCCAGGAAGACGUCGCCCGAGGCAGCUUUGAAUAAUGAGUUUUCCUUCUCAGAGCCUUCCUAUUCCAUUUCCAGAUGUUCCUAUUUGGAAAUCUUCCCUUAUUUUGUCUCUUGAAGUGCCAGCACUCAGAAAGGGCCCAGCCCCUCUGACAGCCGGUAGGCUUUCUGCUCAAGGGAUUUCACAGCAUCAGGACUCACACCCCAGCCUAUUAGAUGGCAGAAAUCCUUUCAAGGCAAGUUGGGGCUUAUUUGUAACUUAUCUGAGAAACACAUCACAGUGUGUCUUUGUAGCCAGGGAUCCUCAAGCGAGAAAGUAACAGAUGAAAUAACUUAUUAGUCCUUUUCCUUCCCAAGAGUCUCUAAAGCAUGAAAAACUCCACUAUACCUGCUCCUCCGAGCUUUUGCUGUAGAGAUUUCCCAAGAGCCUCCCAGUGCUGCCAGUGUCAGCACACCUGUCUGAGGCAGACGUGCACCAGCAACGGCAAAAUAAUGGAUUCCAUUUACUGAGCACGUACUAUGUGCCAGACACGGUACAAAGUGUUGUACCUGGGUUAUUUCAUGUAUGCCUUAUAGGAACAUGUGAAGUAAACCUAUCAACCUCGUUUUACAGAUGAAGAAACACGGCCUCGUAAAGUACAAGCAGCUCACUCGGAUUUAUUGAUCUUGUCAGUUGGCAGAGGCAGGGCUACCAGACUCAGGUCCGGCUGCUUGCCGCUCGGAAAUCAGUACCUGAGAAAGAGGCAAAUGUUGGUCAAAAGGAAGGUUGCUUUUCAUCAGAAUGCUGGCAGUCUGGGGAGAGGGUGGACUCACUGUCCACCCAAAACCAUCUCCUAAGAUUUAGCUUGACCGUGAAAGUUUUUAAAGGGAAAAAGGAAAGUCAUCUCUGCCAAUCAUUGAUGUAGCGGGCAGCGUCGCCAUCCCCCACUGCCCACAGGCUUCUGAACUCUCUCCUUAGAUGCAAUCUUGUUCAGUUUGUUCGUGAGAUUACUGAAGGGGAAGCUAGGAAAGUGGUCUGUCAUCUGUUAAUUACUUAUUCUUCAGUUCUACUUCUUUGAUCUACAGAAAGAACCAAUAGAUUAGGCAAGGUAUUAUGGGAUCGAAAGAUUUGAAAGGUGUGAGUGGGUCAGAAAUGAGUAGGGCAUGGGGGCUUCUGAUUAAAAUGUAAGCAAUUUGGGAGUUCCUGUGGUAGCUUAGCAGGUUGAGAACCCAACAUAAUGUCCCUGAGGAUGUGGGUUCGAUUCCUGGCCUCGCUUGGUGGGUUAAAGAUACGGUGUUGCCCCAAGCUGUGGUGUAGGUCACAGAUGCAGAUCUGGCAUUGCUGUGGCUGUGGCUGUGGCAGCUGCAGCUCCAAUCUGACCCUGGGAACUUCCAUAGGCCACAGGAAUGGCUGUAAGAAAAAAGGAGAGGAGUUCCCGUCGUGGUGCCGUGGUUAACGAAUCUGACUAGGAACCAUGAGGUUGCAGGUUCGGUCCCUGCACUUGCUCAGUGGGUUAACGAUCCAGCGUUGCCGUGAGCUGUGGUGUAGGUUGCAGAUGCGGCUCGGAUNAAAUAGCAAAAAGACAAAAAAAAAAAAAAAGAGAGAGAGAGACACACACACACAAAAUAUAAGCAGUUUGGCUCCAUGAGAGGUAAAAAAUGUAUUAGUAAAAACUGUCUUAGUCUGCUCGAUCUGCUGUAACAAAAUUCCAUGACAUGUGUGGCUCAAGCAGCGGGGACACCUCUGCCAUCACAAACACCUCUGGAGGUUCAAGGUCCACCCGGCAUAUGCUGUGUGUGAGCUGCAAACGUAGUUUCCAUAGAAUGACACAGUGACGGCUGACUGUGUAACUGACACUGUGUUGUGCAUCCCCCAACACGUACAUGUGCAUGCUCACACACACUCACACGUAAACCACCCAGAGUGAGGAGACCCUUCCUGCCCAUGUUCACGGGAAAUUGACCAUAUCACAGUUACUGAUCCUGAUAACUAAGAUUUUGUUGCGAUUUAAUCCUGAUAUGGGGUUAUCUGUAAUGUCAAUAAUGACCUUAUCCAAGUUGGUUACAAGUUAUUGCUAUAUGGUAUGUAUUAAUGAAUACAUAUAUGUACGUAUGAACCGUGUAUACUAUGCAUUCUAUUUGUGAACGCAACAUAAUUUCUUUAUUCCAAAGUGGGACUUAAAAUAUUUCGCCAGUACUGUAAAGAGAACUGAGUCUUUUAUGCCUGCUCUGUGUUCUUACUCUUUUACCUUUCACAGAUGUUCUUUUGGCUUUCUUGCAGUUCUUGUUCUACAUUCUUCUGGGCUAGAAAUUCUUAAUAUCUUAAUUCUGAAAUUCUAGUUCUACCUGCAAUCCGUUUUAAUCUAUGAAAUGGUCAAUACUCAAAAUUCAACUAAAUCAAGUAUUGAUUACUUGGUUGAAAAAAUAAAAGUUAGUGAUAAUAUAGCUUUGCUUAUAUUGACAAGAAAGAGGUUUCCCGCUAAGGGCAGUUUUCCUACAAAGAGCUGCCUACAAGCUCCCCUUCCCCCACCCCAUCAGAUAUCAUUUCAUUUCUGUGGGAUUAGGGCCAAAGAUCUGUCUUCUGUAACCUCUUCAUGCUGAGAGAGGGCGUCGAGGUCUUAGGGUGAAAGAUGUCAAAAUGUGUUUGAAGCAUCUCUUUUCUGAUAGCUUUCGCUGCCCACUAACAUGUAUGGGCAGAGCAAGCUGCAAUGAUUUUGCUGCCCACAAAGAUAUAGAGUAUUAUGAGCAACAGUGUUAAUCCCACUCUCUCAAGGCCAGUUCUUGGAAUUAUGCAAACCAUUGAUUCACCUGUGCUUAAGAGGGAGCCGCCUGUGUCAUGGCUACAGUCUGGUCAUCAUGCAGUUAGCAUUUUCCUUCUGGUGGCAGUUAUAGUAUCUGUAAAACAGCUCAGGAAUGUGCAUUGACACUGCAUCAGGAACUCUACUGUCCUAAUCCUUAACUGCUUGAACUUGCUCUUUUGUGACCCAGGAAGGCCUGGGAGACUUUAGCUUUAUGACAAACAAGGGGCAGGGGGCAGGGAGGGGCCUUUGUAAUUGAGGGGGUGGAGCAAGGGGUUCUGCUCAGUUCCAUCAGGAUUUGGACCCAGAUCUAUCUGUCUGCGAAACUUGCACCAUGUCCUCUAGGACAUACUGUCUCAAAUCAGAAUUUCGACUCUUAUAAGUUUGAUCUGGAUCUUCCCACGUGAUUUUGGCCAGGUCAUUCAUUCCUGAACCUGGCUGUGGUGAUCAUGAUAGUGUUUCAUCUAUUUGUAGAACAUCUAACAUGGGCUGGCCUCCAGGUGCUCUUCCUAAAUGAUCUCUAACCCUUAUACCCCUCUUGAAGCAGGUGUUUUUUUUCCUCAUUAUACAGCUAACAGAGACUGGAGCUCAGAGGAGGUAAGGGACUUGUCCAAGGUCAUAUGAUCACUAAAGAACAGAGUGAAUCUCUGCCAGAUGCCACAGCACAGGUACUCUGCACUGAGCCAUGCUGCUCUCUGCAAGAAUCCAAUCCUUCAAGGAGCAGUGCAGCUUCCCUGAGGUUGGGGGCAGCGGGGGGAGGUUACAGGCAAUAACAUCUCACAUUUUUAUAGUCAUUUACAAAGUGAUUUCCUCAACACGUGUUUGCUUAUAAGAAGCACUUCAGAGGAGUUCCCUUUGUGGCUCAGUGGUUAAUGAAUCCGACUAGGAACCAUGAGGUUUCGGGUUCAGUCCCUGGCCUUGCUUAGUGGUUUAGGGAUCC
This 4719-nucleotide long non-coding RNA is filed under the name Sus scrofa (pig). Its description in RNAcentral is "lncRNA (ENSSSCG00035072477.1)". The record is from RNAcentral. Lineage: Eukaryota; Metazoa; Chordata; Mammalia; Artiodactyla; Suidae.